RNAcentral lists this ribosomal RNA (237 nucleotides) under uncultured bacterium. RNAcentral describes it as "partial 16S ribosomal RNA". It matches the Rfam family "Bacterial small subunit ribosomal RNA", at positions 112 to 334 of the family's 1533-position model. The record is from RNAcentral.
AACGCGUGGGUAAUCUGUCCUGGAGUGGGGAAUAACUCGGGGAAACCUGGGCUAAUGCCGCAUGAUACCAUAGGGGCCUCGGCUCUGAUGGUCAAAGGUGGCGAGGUUAGACCGCUACCGCUAGAGGAGGAACCCGCGUCCCAUUAGCUUGUUGGUGAGGUAACGGCUCACCAAGGCUUCGAUGGGUAGCCGGCCUGAGAGGGUGUCCGGCCACACUGGAACUGAGACACGGUCCAG